This is a long non-coding RNA of Odocoileus virginianus texanus, 388 nucleotides long. RefSeq lists it as uncharacterized. NCBI's taxonomy places the organism in Eukaryota, Metazoa, Chordata, Mammalia, Artiodactyla, Cervidae. The record is from RefSeq and is a predicted model, not a curated record.
CUCACUUCUGAGGUCUUGGUUCUGCUCCGGCUCUGCGCCGGCUCCGUCCACGUGCCCUGCUGUCUUACAGAGGAGGAAGGUGAGGAAGAAGCUCCUGAGAUCUUACAGCUCCUGUGCGGCAGAGCUGGGGUCUGAGCCCGGUUUCCCGGAUCCCAGUUUUCCGAAGUGUCACGCUACGGUGUCCCAUUCCCCUCUUUGCUCCAUUUGCUAGGGAGCUCAGCCUGGAGCUCUGGGUUGACUCUCAGGGGCCACAUCAGCCUAGGCUUUGGGUCAUAUUUGUGUCAGCCCCAUCCUCAGACUUUCAUCCUCCCUGCCGGGCCUCCCGUGGAGCAGGCCGGACAUAAGUUAUCAACUAUAAAUAAAACCAAGACUUCCGUUCUGGCUCUCA